Molecule: ribosomal RNA, 253 nt
Filed under: uncultured bacterium
Lineage: Bacteria
Description: partial 16S ribosomal RNA
Rfam family: Bacterial small subunit ribosomal RNA
Source: RNAcentral
UACGUAGGGUGCAAGCGUUAAUCGGAAUUACUGGGCGUAAAGCGUGCGCAGGCGGUUAUGUAAGACAGAUGUGAAAUGCCCGGGCUUAACCUGGGAACUGCAUUUGUGACUGCAUGGCUAGAGUUUGGCAGAGGGGGGUAGAAUUCCACGUGUAGCAGUGAAAUGCGUAGAUAUGUGGAGGAACACCGAUGGCGAAGGCAGCCCCCUGGGUCAAUACUGACGCUCAUGCACGAAAGCGUGGGGAGCAAACAGG